This 541-nucleotide ribosomal RNA is filed under the name uncultured bacterium. Its description in RNAcentral is "partial 16S ribosomal RNA". It matches the Rfam family "Bacterial small subunit ribosomal RNA", at positions 355 to 888 of the family's 1533-position model. The record is from RNAcentral.
UGGGGAAUUUUGGACAAUGGGCGAAAGCCUGAUCCAGCAAUGCCGCGUGUGUGAAGAAGGCCUUCGGGUUGUAAAGCACUUUUGUCCGGAAAGAAAUCCUCUGGGUUAAUACCUCGGGGGGAUGACGGUACCGGAAGAAUAAGCACCGGCUAACUACGUGCCAGCAGCCGCGGUAAUACGUAGGGUGCAAGCGUUAAUCGGAAUUACUGGGCGUAAAGCGUGCGCAGGCGGUUUUGUAAGACGGAUGUGAAAUCCCCGGGCUUAACCUGGGAACUGCAUUCGUGACUGCAAGGCUAGAGUAUGGCAGAGGGGGGUAGAAUUCCACGUGUAGCAGUGAAAUGCGUAGAGAUGUGGAGGAAUACCGAUGGCGAAGGCAGCCCCCUGGGCCAAUACUGACGCUCAUGCACGAAAGCGUGGGGAGCAAACAGGAUUAGAUACCCUGGUAGUCCACGCCCUAAAACGAUGUCAACUAGUUGUUGGGGAUUCAUUUCCUUAGUAACGUAGCUAACGCGUGAAGUUGACCGCCUGGGGAGUACGGUCG